CCCGCACCAUUGCCCCUUCUCUGUGCUUUUACCGUUGGACCAAGUCCCACCACCGUUGUUGUCAGUCCACGUCCUCAUCCAUCGUCUCGUCGCCGUCGCCGUGGCGGCGAUGCAAGUUGUGCCGGGUGCAACUUUUCUCCGCGGACAUCUACACCACGAUUAUAUUUUUCGCGGCUUCUUCGUCGCGUCAUUCUCAAGAGCGCUUUAGAUGUAUUUUUGUACCUGACUCGAUCAUCACAAGUGGGUUCAGGAAACACCACGAAUUCCAGUAUCAUUCGAUGUAAAGAAAAAAAAAUGAACAUAUAUCAUUUAUCUGUCGAUAAUGAUAAAAUAUUUUUUAUUAAUCCUGUAAUAUUGAAAGGAAGAAGCUGCUGUUUGGUUUAAUAAAUAAUUUUUAUCUCGCAACUACUCAAGUUACAGCAGUGAGGAAGGGAAAGCUUAAAUAAUGUACAUCAACUAUAUCUUGAUCCUUUGCCAAGCAGGUGGUUUUCAAACAUCGCACCGGAUUCACUAAACGAGGAAAGAAAGAUGCUCAAAAGGUACAGAGGAAAGAGAACGAAAAAAUUACAUGAAAAGAUGCGCUAGUAGCUAAAAAUGCUCCGCUGAAUAAUCAGUGAUGUAACAAAUGUCAGUAUUGCUGUCUGAUUUUGCUGGAAAAUAAUCAAAAAAUGAAAUUGACAUUCUGUAACCUCAUAAGAAGGCCACUGUCAUUUUUGUCUUCUGAAAUUUCCUCGCCCACGUAAUUGAAUUCUUAUGAGUUUGAUAUUUUCGUCUCCCUUGCCAGACGAAAGAGUCGCCCGGCACUACAAAUAUGUUUACUGAUUUAGGCAUAAGAUGCGAAUAUAAUAAAUGUAUUUCAAUGAUUCUAUCUUAUUCAAUAAUUCAUCAUCAAGUUUUUCUAAAACAGAUUCAUUUUUGCAAAACAAGAAUUCCUUGACGUCAUUUAUUAAUUUUUGGCAUAAAUAAUUAUGAGUACUUCGUUGAAUAAAAUUCUAGCACGUAAACAAUUACGAGAAAUGAUGACAAAAAUAACUUGAAGACAGUUCAUUGAGUCAACAAGUGUUAACAAUGAUCAUUGUUGUUUAAUAAAAUGGUUUAUUUAUCAAAA
Long non-coding RNA from Chelonus insularis, 1108 nucleotides. RefSeq lists it as uncharacterized. The record is from RefSeq and is a predicted model, not a curated record. The transcript is spliced from 3 exons. Lineage: Eukaryota; Metazoa; Arthropoda; Insecta; Hymenoptera; Braconidae.